This 253-nucleotide ribosomal RNA is filed under the name uncultured bacterium. RNAcentral describes it as "partial 16S ribosomal RNA". It matches the Rfam family "Bacterial small subunit ribosomal RNA", at positions 524 to 776 of the family's 1533-position model. The record is from RNAcentral.
UACGUAGGGGGCUAGCGUUGUCCGGAAUCAUUGGGCGUAAAGCGCGUGUAGGCGGCCCGGUAAGUCCGCUGUGAAAGUCGGGGGCUCAACCCUCGAAUGCCGGUGGAUACUGUCGGGCUCGAGUGCGGAAGAGGCGAGUGGAAUUCCCGGUGUAGCGGUGAAAUGCGUAGAGAUCGGGAAGAACAUCGGUGGCGAAAGCGCUCUACUGGACCGCAACUGACACUCAGGGACGAAAGCUAGGGGAGCGAAUGGG